RNAcentral lists this non-coding RNA (30 nucleotides) under Mus musculus (house mouse). Lineage: Eukaryota; Metazoa; Chordata; Mammalia; Rodentia; Muridae. The record is from RNAcentral.
UGGGCCUGUAGGAGGUUCACAAAGGUGAGA